RNAcentral lists this ribosomal RNA (460 nucleotides) under uncultured bacterium. RNAcentral describes it as "partial 16S ribosomal RNA". It matches the Rfam family "Bacterial small subunit ribosomal RNA", at positions 338 to 795 of the family's 1533-position model. The record is from RNAcentral.
CCUACGGGUGGCAGCAGUGAGGAAUAUUGGUCAAUGGACGAGAGUCUGAACCAGCCAAGUAGCGUGAAGGAUGACUGCCCUAUGGGUUGUAAACUUCUUUUAUAUGGGAAUAAAAUGUUCCACGUGUGGGAUUUUGUAUGUACCAUAUGAAUAAGGAUCGGCCAACUCCGUGCCAGCAGCCGCGGUAAUACGGAGGAUCCGAGCGUUAUCCGGAUUUAUUGGGUUUAAAGGGAGCGUAGGUGGAUUGUUAAGUCAGUUGUGAAAGUUUGCGGCUCAACCGUAAAAUUGCAGUUGAAACUGGCAGUCUUGAGUACAGUAGAGGUGGGCGGAAUUCGUGGUGUAGCGGUGAAAUGCUUAGAUAUCACGAAGAACUCCGAUUGCGAAGGCAGUUCACUGGACUGCAACUGACACUGAGGCUCGAAAGUGUGGGUAUCAAACAGGAUUAGAUACCCGUGUAGUC